Haliotis rubra (blacklip abalone) is the source of this 401-nucleotide long non-coding RNA. RefSeq lists it as uncharacterized. The record is from RefSeq and is a predicted model, not a curated record. The transcript is spliced from 3 exons. NCBI's taxonomy places the organism in Eukaryota, Metazoa, Mollusca, Gastropoda, Lepetellida, Haliotidae.
UUAAAAAUUUGUAAAUACAAUAAAGCAUAAAGGCAGUAAAUAUUUAUAAUGUACAUUAACUUACAACAUUUGCUUUUUCAAGACAAUGCAUGAUAUGAUAGGUAACUAUUCUUGGCUCAGAGUUUUUUAAUCUCCAAUUGGUAUUGUUACACUGCAAGUUACAGCUUUGAAUAUAUUUCCUAUUUCCAGUUCUGAUACCGACUGCGAGAGUCAUGCAAGGGUCCCAAGUAACACGCUGCCUGAUGAACCAACAAGUUCUUCCACAGCGACGCAUUUUCCCUCCUUUCAAACUCCAAUCAAGAGGUCUAUCACUUCAAAUUACACUAAUCCAAGAGUGCCGAACAAAACAACAAUUCGACCUAGUCCAAGUAUGAUGAGGGAUGCUGGAAAUGUAACACUUC